RNAcentral lists this ribosomal RNA (1158 nucleotides) under Triticum aestivum (bread wheat). RNAcentral describes it as "partial small subunit ribosomal RNA". The record is from RNAcentral. Lineage: Eukaryota; Viridiplantae; Streptophyta; Magnoliopsida; Poales; Poaceae.
AUGGCUUCCACGGUGACGCUGCUGAGGAAGACGGCCACCAUACGGAUGAGCGACGUCGCCGCCGUGGCGUCACCAGCGGCGAUGAAGUCGCUUUUGCUGGAGGGAAGCAAAGGCGGCGGCGGCGGCGACGUGGCGAAGCGAUGCUGCGGGCGCAAGUGCGAGCUCGUCGGCUACGACGCGCUCCCGGCCUUCCUGCAGCACAACGAGUUCAUCCUCCACUACUACCGCAGCGAGUGGCCCCUCAAGGAGGCGCUCCUCAGCGCCUUCGCCCUCCACAACGAGACCAUCAACGUUUGGACGCAUUUGAUCGGCUUCUUCGUGUUCCUCGCGCUCACCGUGUGCGCCGCCACGAUGGUCCCCAUGGAAACCAGAGCGACAUCCGCGGGCCUGGCGAACUGCACCGGCAACAGCAACCCUAGAGUGCUGAUGACCUCCUACGGCAGCAACGGAGCGGCCGUGGCAAUGCAGGCGCUGCUGCGCCGCAACGUGUCCGUCUCCGGCGAGACGGACCUCGCGGCAGCGGCGGCGUUGUCGCUGUUGUCAGGAGAACACGGCCCGGUCGAGCGGUGGCCGUUCUACACGUACCUGUGCGGCGCCAUGUUCUGCCUGCUGAUGAGCAGCGGGUGCCACCUGCUGGCGUGCCACUCGGAGCACGCCAGCUACGUGCUGCUCCGCCUCGACUACGCCGGCAUCACCGGCCUCAUCGUCACCUCCUUCUACCCGCUCGUCUACUACACCUUCCUCUGCGACCCCUUCUCCCGGACGCUCUACCUCGGCUCCAUCACCGUCUUCGGCGCCGCCGCGGUGGCCGUGUCGCUGCUGCCGGUCUUCGAGGCACCCGAGCUGAGGUGGGCGCGCGCCGCGCUGUUCGUGUGCAUGGGCGCGUCCGGCCUCGUGCCCAUCGUGCACAAGAUGCUCGUGUUCGGCGCACGGCCCGAGGCGGUGGUCACCACGGGAUACGAGGUGGCCAUGGGGGUGUUCUACCUGGCCGGCGUGCUGGUGUACGCCACGAGGGUGCCGGAGAGGUGGAUGCCGGGCAGGUUUGACCUCGUCGGGCACAGCCACCAGCUGUUCCACGCGCUUGUCAUCGCCGGCGCUUACGCGCACUACAAUGCCGGCCUGGUUUACUUGAGUUGGAGGGACAUGGACAAGUGCUGA